This is an RNA transcript of Trifolium pratense (red clover), 1720 nucleotides long. It is a transcript of the gene named tobamovirus multiplication protein 1-like, with no coding region annotated. Lineage: Eukaryota; Viridiplantae; Streptophyta; Magnoliopsida; Fabales; Fabaceae. The transcript has 14 exons. The record is from RefSeq and is a predicted model, not a curated record.
UUCCUUGCUGGCACAAUCAUCAGCUCCCAUUGUUAUCACAAAAUCACAACAGAUUCAUUCCUGCUUUUCCAUUUUUACCCCUCCCUCUUCUUCUGUGUCUUGUGGCGGUGUUGGUAAAUCUCUCUCACUUACAUACAUACAUGCACAGACACAUAGAUAUAUAGAUAUAUACAUAUAUAUAUAUACAGAUCUCUCUCUCUCUCUAUGAGACUUGUAACAAACAACACAUUUUCCCCCUUUUUCUUCAACAACCCUUCAACCAUGGCGGGAUUUGGUGGCGGCCACUGUUUCCCGUACCCUCUAUUCGCUGUCAUCACCAUUCUUGCUGUUGUUCAUUCGAUUAUUGCUUCCAUUGCUUCUCUUCAGUUGCUGAGGAUUCACUUGAGAAGUUUGCAGCAAGGUUGGACUCGGCAAAAAGUGUUUCAUCUAUUGAUUGGCUCUUCGAAUUGGGGUUACUCGAUUUAUUUGGCAUUGAUACUUCUUGCUGCUUGCAAGGAAUUGACAUAUUGGUCACACUCUUGUGGUUUUAUCUUUAUGGCACUCCCCAAAGUACUUUUUUUUGCAGCAUUUCUUCUUCUUUUAUCCUUCUGGGUUGACCUAUGCCACCAGCCAGACGAUGACGAUGACUAUGAAGGAAGUUUUUCCGAGGAACCUUUGCUGGGAAAGACUUCAAAUGAAUUAAUUUUAUUGAACAGGGAUAGGCAUAGAAAGUGUUUUCCUAUUCGUUUUUCUCGUAUCGGAUACCGUCAAAAGAUUGUGACUAUGGUUUUGUUGCUACUUCUCAUCACCAUUAUGGCAUUUGCUGUAAUAAUUUGGAUUGGGCUAGGAAAGAAUCCCAUUGACUCUGAAGUGGUAGCACGGGUGUACUUGGAUAUUUCUGCUAUUGGAAUGCUUUUCUUAGGAGGCGCACUGGCAUGUUAUGGAAUCCUGUUGUGCUUGAAGAUGAGCAAAGUGAGAGCUGAGAAACCUUCGUCUGAAAUGGGGAAGGUUGCAGGUUUGACUAUAGUCUCUGUAUUAUGUAUCACAUCAAGUUCCUGUGUAGAACUUUUAACGGACAUUCCUAUGAUGUUUCACUGGCAUCAGCAGCGUACUAUGAAUGAUGUUUGUGCCUCUCUUCUGCUGAUUUUGUAUUUUUUUGUGGGUUCAUCAAUACCUUCAGCAGUGGUACUGUGGGUAAUGAGAGAAUUACCACCAGCAGAAGCUGAUGAUGUAGUAGAAGAAUCAAGUACAAUAGCUUUUGUUCCUGAUAAUUCGGUUGUUGUUCAUCAUCCUCAGCGAUGGACUACAGCAACAAGCGUGCAGAAUCAGUAGAAAAAUAAUUUUUUACAUGGAUUGCUCUUGACGGUUGGGGCUUUAAGAUUCAAAUUCAUAUUAGUCACAAGACAUCAAGAGCUAGUCCUAUAUAAUCUUUGCAUGUAAAUCUUCUUGUUCCGCUGGAGCUUCGGCACAGCUUAUUGGAGUUUCUUCGGAAUAUGUUGAACCUUAGAGCAAAGAUGAGAGAAAAUGAUGAUGGUGGGUGCAAGUACUACAGGCCUUAUAGUUUCCAAUUCCAAUGUACUUGCAUUUUAAAUCUAACUGUAUAGAGUAGUGAUUUGAUAUAUGAAAAUUUCUUUUUGUGCUAUACAAGUUUUGGGAUACAAUGGUUGUUGGGAAUCGCUGGGUUCAAAUAACAAUUGCCUAAUGUGAAUAUAAAUGUUGCCAACCAAGCAUGUUCUUCCAA